Molecule: ribosomal RNA, 254 nt
Filed under: uncultured bacterium
Lineage: Bacteria
Description: partial 16S ribosomal RNA
Rfam family: Bacterial small subunit ribosomal RNA
Source: RNAcentral
UACGGAGGGUGCGAGCGUUGUCCGGAAUCACUGGGCGUAAAGGGCGCGUAGGCGGCGGGACAAGCGUGCGGUGAAAGCUCGGGGCUCAACCCCGAGUCGGCCGUGCGAACUGUUUUGCUUGAGCACUGUAGAGGCAGGCGGAAUUCCGGGUGUAGCGGUGGAAUGCGUAGAGAUCCGGAAGAACACCGGUGGCGAAGGCGGCCUGCUGGGCAGUAGCUGACACUGAGGCGCGACAGCGUGGGGGAGCAAACAGG